This is a long non-coding RNA of Oncorhynchus nerka (sockeye salmon), 4181 nucleotides long. RefSeq lists it as uncharacterized. The record is from RefSeq and is a predicted model, not a curated record. NCBI's taxonomy places the organism in Eukaryota, Metazoa, Chordata, Actinopteri, Salmoniformes, Salmonidae. The transcript has 8 exons.
CCCCAGUGUUUAAAUCCCUGUGUUUCCUGUCUCUCUGUCCCAGUUCAUCUUGUAUGUUUCCAAGUCAACCAGCGGUUUUCCCGUUCUGCUUUUUGCAUUUUCUAGUACUCCCGGAUCUGACCCUUGCCUGUUUCUGGACUUUGUACACGCCUGCCUGACCAUUCUGCCUGUCUGCCACUCUGUACCUCCUGGACUCUGAUCUGCUUUUGACCUUUUUGCCUGUCCACGACCAUUCUCUUGCCUACCGCUUUGGAUUAAUAAACAUUGUAAGACUCCAACCAUCUGCCUCCUGUGUCUGCAUUUGGGUCUCGCCUUGUACCUUGAUACAUGGAGGUUUUCAAGAGCCUCACAAAGAGGGGCACUUAUUGGUAGAUGGGUCUUGUUUUCCCCUCUUUUUUUAAGCAGACACUGAAUAUCCCUUUUAGCAUGAUAACUUGGGGGAGGCACAUCUGCAGGCUGCCAGUUGGAGAACCCUGCUCCUAGAGAUUUACACGAUUAUCAAAACGUCAAGCCAGGACCACUGCCUGUCUCUGAGCCUGCCUGCCUGCCUGCCUGCCGUCCUGUACCUUGCUCCACCUCUGGAUUACCGACCUCUGCCUGCCUGCCGUCCUGCACCUUGGCCUUUGCUCUGGAUUAUCGACCCCUGCCUGCCUUGACCUGGAGUUUGUUGUACAAAGUGCACAGACUGAUCCCCAAGUCAUGAAUGGUUGCCGGGACGUGCCUGAAGGAGAAAAGGACACUCUAUCAUGAUGCCUCUGAUAGUGAACCGAGUUGCUGCCCUGAUGACACCGACAGCGUCAUCAACACUGACAGGCCCUCUGGUCAACACCACCUCAUAAGAUUGUCUGCUGCAGUUGUUGAAGAGAUGUCCAGUUUGCAGCUGGACAUUCAGCAUAGAGAAGAACAGCAAGGGAGCCCUCAUCAGCAUCAUGCAGACAUGCUCUCAAUGUGAGCAUUCCAAUGAAUGGAACAGUCGUCACCCGUCAACGGCAAUAGCUUAUGAUAUCCCAAGUGUGUUUAUAUGUGAGCAACCAGUAUCUAGAGGACAGGAGCUGACCAACAAUGCAUCAAAGCGGCUCUGGCAAAGGCCUUACCUCUUGCCUGAUCACCAACGGUCUUUGAUGGGGAGACCAGAAUUAGGUUGGUUUAUUCUGACCUGUUCAAACUUCAACAUAGUAUAUGUUGGUUUGUCAGAUAUCACCUAUCCUAACUGCUAUUGGUAAUAGAACAGUGACUGUGUGUAUGCAUUCAAAAAUGAAUCUAUUAACCUCUUUGAAACUAGGGGGUACUAUUUUCAUUUUUGGAAAAAUAACGUUCCCAAAGUAAACGGGCUAUUUCUCAGGACCAGGUGCUAGAAUAUGCAUAUACAGUGGUGCAAAAAAGUAUUUAGUCAGCCACCAAUUGUGCAAUUUCUCCCACUUAAAUAGAUGAGAGAGGCCUGUAAUUUUCAUCAUAGGUACACUUCAACUAUGACAGACAAAAUGAGAAAAAAAAUCCAGAAAAUCACAUUGUAGGAUUUUUAAUGAAUUUAUUAGCAAAUUAUGGUUGAAAAUAAGUAUUUGGUCAAUAACAAAUGUUUAUCUCAAUACUUUGUUAUAUACCCUUUGUUGGCAAUGACAGAGGUCAAACAUUUUCUGUAAGUCUUCACAAGGUUUUCACACACUGUUGCUGGUAUUUUGGCCCAUUCCUCCAUGCAGAUCUCCUCUAGAGCAGUGAUGUUUUGGGGCUGUUGCUGGGCAACACGGACUUUCAACUCCCUCCAAAGAUUUUCUAUGGGGUUGAGAUCUGGAGACUGGCUAGGCCACUCGUUGACCUUGAAAUGCUUCUUACAAAGCCACUCCUUCGUUGCCCGGGCGGUGUGUUUGGGAUCAUUGUCAUGCUGAAAGGUGUGUGUGUAUAUAUAUAUAUACUGCUCAGAAAAAUAAAGGGAACACUAAAAUAAGACAUCCUAGAUCUGAAUGAAUGAAAUAUUCUUAUUAAAUACUUUUUUCUUUCCAUAGUUGAAUGAGCUGACAACAAAAUCACACAAAAAUGAUCAAUGGAAAUCAAAUGUAUCAACCCAUGGAGGUCUGGAUUUGGAGUCACACUCAAAAUUAAAGUGGAAAACCACACUACAGGCUGAUGUAAUGUCCUUAAAACAAGUCAAAAUGAGGCUCAGUAGUAUGUGUGGCAUCCACGUGUCUGUAUGACCUCCCUACAAAGCCUGGGCAUGCUCCUGAUGAGGUGGCGGAUGGUCUUCCAAAGAGUGUACUGUCUAAUAUUCUAAUAUUCAAAUAUUUUUUAAACAUGUUUUUUUUUGUGUGUGUUAGAAUUGCUUUUUGAUAUGUUGUAUACAGUUAUUUGCACUGUUGUAUAUCGUUAUAGGUCAUUUCACCAAUUUGGCCACUUGGGUACAUGUAGCUCACCCAUUCCUGAAGUUAUCAGUCUGAAACUUUGCACACCUACAUGUGCCCUCUUGUGUUAUCCAUCAAAAUUAUCUGCAGCAUCCUAUCUGACUGUGUGGCUAUUCUAGUACACGUGAAAGAUGAUGCUACAACAAUAGAAAAACAGAAAACGUAUGCUCUUUCUUUCUCUUUACUUCCACCAGAUCUACUGUGUUAUAUUCUCCGACAUUCAAUUAACAUUUCCACAAACUCAGAAUGUUUCCAUUCAAAUGAUACCAAUAAUAUGCAUAUCCUUGCCUCUGGGGCUGAGCUACAGCCAGUUAGAUUAGGGUAUGUCUUCAGGCAGAAAUUGAGAACAAGGGAUGCAGCCAUAAGAGGUUAUUAAGCCAGCUCUUGGAGACUUGCAAGAUGGUGUGAUGGAGCCUUGACCAACAGAAAGGCUGGGUCUUGACAUCUCUGAAGGGAGAGAGACAUGGCACUCAACACAUCCCUCAUAUGGGAUAGAAGAUGGAAAGGACUGUAUAUGCUUUGGUUAGAUGCCAGCCUUGAUCAUUUGAUGCCGAGACAAUAAUUGGAAAGAUGUAGGGUGCCAGCACAAGGAGACUUGCAAGAUGGUGUGAUGAAGUCCAGACUUAUAGACAGGCUUCAUACUGUCAUCUCUGAAUGGAGUGAGACCUGGCACUCUGCAUUACAAUUUUACAAGACAACAUUUACUUGUAUUUUUUUUUUGUUAUGGCAAGAACAGCUCAAAUGAGCAAAGAUAAAUUACAGUCCAUCAUUACUUUAAGAAAUAAAGGUCAGUCAAUCCGGAAAUUGUCAAGAACUUUCUUCAAGUGCAGUCGCAAAAACCAUCAAGCACUAUGAUGAAACUGGCUCUCAUGAGGACCACCACGGGAAAGGAAGACCCAGAGUUACCUCUGCUGCAGAGGAUAAGUUCAUUAGAGUUACCAGCCUCAAAAAUUGCAGCCCAAAUAAAUGUUUCACAGAGUUCAAGUAACAGACACAUCUCAACAUCAACUGUUCAGAGGAGACUGCAUGAAUCAGGCCUUCGUGGUCGAUUUGCUGCAACAACAAAAAACACUACUAAAGGGCACCAAUAAGAAGACUUACUUGGGCCAACAAACACAAGCAAUGGACAUUAGACCGGUGGAAAUCUGUCCUUUUGUCUGAUGAGUCCAAAUUUGAGAUCUUUGAUUCCAAUCGCUGUGUCUUUGUGAGACGCAGAGUUGGUGAACGGAUUAUCUCUGUAUGCAUGGAGGAGGAGGUGUAAUAGUGUGGGGGUACUUUUCUGGUGACACUGGCAGUGAUUUAUUUCGAAUUCAAGGCACACUUUACCUACAUGGCUACCACAGUAUUCUGCAGCAAUACGCCAUCCCAUCUGGUGUGUGAUUAUCAUUUGUUUUUCAACAGGACAAUGACCCAGCACACCUCCAGGCUGUGUAAGGGCUAUUUGACCAAGAACGGGAGUGAUGGAGUGCUGCAUCAGAUGAACUGUCCUCCCCAAUCACCUGAGUUGGACCGCAGAGUGAAGGAAAAGCAGCCAACAAGUCCUCAGCAUAUGUGGGAACUCCUUCAAGACUGUUGGAAAAGCAUUCCAGGUGAAGCUGGUUGAGAGAAUGCAAAGAGUGUGGAAAGGGUGGCUACUUUGAAGAAUCUCUAAUAUAAAAUAUAUUUGGAUUUGUUUAAUGUUUUUUGGUUUCUACAUGAUUCCAUAUGUGUUAUUCCAUAGUUUUGAUGUCUUUGCUAUUAUUCUACAAUGUAGAAAAUAAUAAAAAAUCAAUAAAAUCCUUGAAUAAG